Molecule: ribosomal RNA, 452 nt
Filed under: uncultured bacterium
Lineage: Bacteria
Description: bacterial SSU rRNA
Rfam family: Bacterial small subunit ribosomal RNA
Source: RNAcentral
AACGAACGCUGGCGGCAGGCUUAACACAUGCAAGUCGAACGGCUGUAGCAAUACAGCAGUGGCAGACGGGUGAGUAACACGUGGGAACCUUCCUAGGGGUACGGAACAACUCAGGGAAACUUGAGCUAAUACCGUAUACGUCCGUAAGGAGAAAGAUUCAUCGCCCCUAGACGGGCCCGCGUCGGAUUAGGUAGUUGGUGGGGUAACGGCCUACCAAGCCUACGAUCCGUAGCUGAUCUGAGAGGAUGAUCAGCCACACUGGGACUGAGACACGGCCCAGACUCCUACGGGAGGCAGCAGUGGGGAAUCUUGGACAAUGGGCGCAAGCCUGAUCCAGCCAUGCCGCGUGAGUGAAGAAGGCCUUAGGGUUGUAAAGCUCUUUUACCAGGGACGAUAAUGACGGUACCUGGAGAAUAAGCCCCGGCAAACUUCGUGCCAGCCGCCGCGGUAAC